GAAAGAAGGAGAAAUAGCACUCCCAGCUCCAGCACUGCCUGAGAGCCUGGAGUUUACAGACCUUCACCGUUUAAUCCUCACACCAAUCCUUCAAGGGCCUGCACACUAAACCAGCAGUCUACAUGGUCUCCACUCUUCCUUUGGGUGCCUCCAACUCCUUACCUGUCAAAUGUGGAGGCUGACAAGAUGCUUUCUAGAAGCUCUUAGAGCUCUGACGUUGGACACUCCCAUGGCGAAGCACAGGGGAGAAUUCCUUAUUCAAAAGAACCCUUCAGUGCAAGGAGAAUCUUCCAGAAAUGGAAAUUUGUAUGCCUCCUACAAGCGUUUAGCCUAUUUGUGUUUAUGUGCCCUGUUAAUUGGAUCUGCAGCCUAUGAUAUCUCGUUUUAAUUUAACUAAUCCUCACAAAAUAGACAAGUGAUUUAAAUGAUUACUGAGAAGAAACUGCAAACUGG
RNAcentral lists this long non-coding RNA (453 nucleotides) under Equus caballus (horse). RNAcentral's name for it is "lncRNA (ENSECAG00000044206.1)". The record is from RNAcentral. Lineage: Eukaryota; Metazoa; Chordata; Mammalia; Perissodactyla; Equidae.